RNAcentral lists this transfer RNA (78 nucleotides) under Gammaproteobacteria bacterium. RNAcentral's name for it is "tRNA-Arg". It matches the Rfam family "tRNA". Rfam says of the family: Transfer RNA (tRNA) molecules are approximately 80 nucleotides in length. Lineage: Bacteria; Pseudomonadati; Pseudomonadota; Gammaproteobacteria. The record is from RNAcentral.
GUCCCUGUAGCUCAACUGGACAAGAGCGCCGGAUUUCGACUCCGAAGGUUGCGGGUUCAACUCCUGCCGGGGAUGCCA